AUGGCUGCCAUGUGGUAUCCGAUCAUCGGUCUCCUCCUUCUCAUGCUCCCACUCGGGCCCUCCUCCGCCAUCAAGUUCCCACUCAUAGGCAACGUCUACCCUGAUGGCCACUUCUAUGCUACGUUGCAGAUUGGUAAGCCCUUGAAGCCCUACUUCCUGGACAUCGACACUGGCAGCAACCUCACUUGGCUGGAGUGUGAGCACCCAGAUCACGGCUGCAAGGGCUGCAACCAGAGGACACCACACCCAUAUUACAAGCCAGCAGCUCAUAACUUGAUGGUGAGAUGUGACAGCUGGAUAUGUGCUCAACUGCGCAAAGACCAGCCUGGUAGUCCUCAAUGCCCCAACAGCGAUCCACAUCGAUGCCACUAUGAUAUCCAAUAUGUCUCCGGGAGGUCAAAAGGCGACCUUGCCAACGACAUGAUCUUUAUCAAUAGGAGAGAUGAUAUGAACUACGUUUUCGGAUGUGGAUACGAGCAGGAGGAGCCAUUAGAGCAGCCAUCGCCACCGGCGGUAGAUGGCAUCCUUGGACUCGGGAGGGGAAGCGUAGGAUUUGUCGCUCAACUCAAGGCACAAAAGAAGAUAGUCAGGAAUGUCAUUGGACAUUGCCUCAGCAUCCAUGGAAAUGGGAACCUGUACAUUGGGGACUUCAGGCUGCCCCCAGGCGACGUCACCUGGGCACCCAUGAGUACAUCUUUGCCUUACUACUCACCCGGCCCAGCAACACUGCUCUAUGACGAACAGCCGAUAAGAGGUAGUCCAGCAUUCACGACAGUAUUUGACAGUGGAGCCACCUACACCUACAUGCCUGGCCAGAUAUACAAUGGCCUUGUUUCAAAGGUUCAAGACACCCUCCACAAAUCAUCACUUAAAGAGGUGAAGGAUCGUGCUCUGCCUCAAUGCUGGAAAGGAAAAAUGCCAUUCAGAUCUGUCGACGAUGUGAAGAAUGAAUUCAAGUCACUGUCGCUAAAAAUUACCCAUGCCCGCGGCACCAGCAACCUGGACAUCCCUCCUGAAAACUACCUCAUCGUGACGAAAGACGGGAAUGCGUGCUUGGCCAUCCUCGAUGGCUCGUCGGAUCGUGUUCUGAGGCAUCUCAUCUUAAUUGGAGAUGCUAUGAUGCAGGAUCUGUUUGUGAUAUAUGACAACGAGGUCAACCGUAUCGGAUGGGUCCGUGCACAGUGCGACAGGAUGCAGGACCUUGAGUCUGGCAUCAUUGAUUCACGUCUCUGA
Molecule: ribosomal RNA, 1233 nt
Filed under: Triticum aestivum (bread wheat)
Lineage: Eukaryota; Viridiplantae; Streptophyta; Magnoliopsida; Poales; Poaceae
Description: partial small subunit ribosomal RNA
Source: RNAcentral